UUCACUCACUAGCGUAAGUCACUCUGGAUAAGAGCGUCUGCUAAAUGACUCAAA
Molecule: non-coding RNA, 54 nt
Organism: Salmo salar (Atlantic salmon)
Lineage: Eukaryota; Metazoa; Chordata; Actinopteri; Salmoniformes; Salmonidae
Source: Rfam